UACGAAGGGGGCUAGCGUUGCUCGGAAUCACUGGGCGUAAAGCGCACGUAGGCGGAUUGCUAAGUCAGGGGUGAAAUCCUGGAGCUCAACUCCAGAACUGCCCUUGAUACUGGCGGUCUCGAGUCCGGGAGAGGUGAGUGGAACUGCGAGUGUAGAGGUGAAAUUCGUAGAUAUUCGCAAGGACACCAGUGGCGAAGGCGGCUCACUGGCCCGAUACUGACGCUGAGGCACGAAAGCGUGGGGAGCAAACAGG
This 253-nucleotide ribosomal RNA is filed under the name uncultured bacterium. RNAcentral's name for it is "partial 16S ribosomal RNA". It matches the Rfam family "Bacterial small subunit ribosomal RNA", at positions 524 to 776 of the family's 1533-position model. The record is from RNAcentral.